AAGUGAUAUGGAUGCUGAAAUUUUUAUUUCACUUCUUCAACAACUACCAGUGCUGUGGAACUAAUUCUGUGAUGCAAACUUCUGCUCAAAGAGAAGCAAUGGUCACAGGUGCACGAUGUCAUCAUUGAGCAUAUUGCCACGGACUGUGUUAUUAACGGCAACAUUCCUUAUUUGAAAUUAUUACUGAACGAGAUCGGGGAGGUCAAGCAAAUCUCCAACUGGUUCAUCGAGGGGCGGAUUUUGAGCGACUUAAUCGAGCCGAAUGAGAAGUUUGACCUGACCCGGGACACGAUCGACGACGAGACCGAGGCACUCAAGCCCAAACUGUCCUAUAUGUGCUCUGUGGUCAAAAUGUUCCCUUGCCCGACGCCAAAGCAUCGGUUCUGUCAGAACGAAAUUCCAGAUUAUCUGAUUCGGUCAUUCUUUGCUCCGGAUAAGCGUAUUGAUAGCUGUGAUGCGAAUUGGGCUCGAGAAGCUGCCCCUGCCCCAGGAUUACGUGCUCGAGGAAUUGCGGCAUAUGUUGAGCGCGUUCUUGGACGAGGAUCAGCGGAAGCAGCAAAGGAAUAGUGU
Long non-coding RNA from Toxorhynchites rutilus septentrionalis, 570 nucleotides. RefSeq lists it as uncharacterized. The record is from RefSeq and is a predicted model, not a curated record. The transcript has 3 exons. NCBI's taxonomy places the organism in Eukaryota, Metazoa, Arthropoda, Insecta, Diptera, Culicidae.